CCUACGGGAGGCAGCAGUGGGGGAUAUUGCACAAUGGGGGGAACCCUGAUGCAGCGACGCCGCGUGAGUGAAGAAGCGAUUCGGCACGUAAAGCUCUAUCAGCAGGGAAGAAAAUGACGGUACCUGACCAAGAAGCCCCGGCUAACUACGUGCCAGCAGCCGCGGUAAUACGUAGGGGGCAAGCGUUAUCCGGAUUUACUGGGUGUAAAGGGGGCGUAGACGGCUGUGCAAGUCUGGAGUGAAAGGCGGGGGCCCAACCCCCGGACUGCUCUUGAAACUGGGUGACUGGAGUGCAGGAGGGGUAGGGGGAAUUCCUAGUGUAGCGGUGAAAUGCGUAGAUAUUAGGAGGAACACCGGUGGCGAAGGCGGCCUACUGGACUGUAACUGACGUUGAGGCUCGAAGGCGUGGGGAGCAAACAGGAUUAGAUACCCUGGUAGUC
This 440-nucleotide ribosomal RNA is filed under the name uncultured bacterium. Its description in RNAcentral is "partial 16S ribosomal RNA". It matches the Rfam family "Bacterial small subunit ribosomal RNA", at positions 338 to 795 of the family's 1533-position model. The record is from RNAcentral.